Durotheca rogersii is the source of this 92-nucleotide non-coding RNA. Lineage: Eukaryota; Fungi; Ascomycota; Sordariomycetes; Xylariales; Xylariaceae. The record is from the annotation of a RefSeq genome assembly.
GCCCUACUAGAGAAAUGGCUAACUCGUCGGCCUCCUAAUGAUUGUGCUAUCAUUGAAGCCGGAGAUUCUCGGUUCGAGUCCGGGGUAGGGCG